This 1053-nucleotide long non-coding RNA is filed under the name Homo sapiens (human). RNAcentral's name for it is "HSALNT0153194". Lineage: Eukaryota; Metazoa; Chordata; Mammalia; Primates; Hominidae. The record is from RNAcentral.
UGAUGCUUAAAGCUGCCAAUAGCUUCAUUAUCCACCCCAAUGUCCCAGUGACAAGUGCAGUGGGAUGAUCUAGGGCAGUCCUAGGACAGCCUGAUUUCCAGUGCCCUUUAACACACGCGGAGCAGCCCAGAACGAGUCCUGAAUGGUGCUCUUUCCUCUAAACUUGGAAUGAAGCCAAAGGACCUCUUAGAUAUUCAACAUUUCCCCAUUCCCUGCCCCAGUAUCUCUGGCUCUAACCUGGGCCUGGGUGCUACCCAGAUGUGCCUUAGCUAAAGUGAUGAAUAGCAGGGUAGCAGAGUUCAAGCUCUGGUGCAUCCAAAUUGUCUAAUGGAGCCCUAGGUAACUAUUUAAAGAGAAGUUAUUUUUUAAAAAGGCAACAUAUUCUCACAAUGCCUAUUUUUCAGAUAGUAGAGCAAAUGUAUCAAAAUACACAACCUUUUGAUUCCUACUAUCUUAAGCUGUAGGGUCUUCACAGUGUCUGGGGCCAGCAGGAAAUGUUCUAGAAAGUGUCAAACAUGAAGGGUUUGGAAAUUCAUAAUCAAAUGAUGACUAUGCUCUGUGAAGUUUCCAACCCUGUUGCAUUUCCUCAUUUGAGCAGUGGGUGAAGGCGAAGGGCAAAAUACUCCAAGGGUUUGUUUCUGUGACAAAGAAACUUCAGUGUCGGUACCAGUAGGUGUGGGAAGAGAAUGUAGAAAAUGACAUAAGGCAGUAGAUAUGUAAAUAAAUCACUAAAAUAAGUAGUUGUUAUGAAAAGAGAGUUGAGAGUUGAAAUGAACAGGAAUCUCAAAAACUGAUUAGAACCUAACGAUAGGAGUGUUCAAGUUGUUUUUCCUAGAUCAGAGACUCACAAGGGCCUCAUUCAGGUAACACAAGUAACUGGCAAUCAAUCUUGGGCAUUUUGCCACCUCUCAAAAAGUCAGGAAAGGUGUGAAUGAGCAUUUAUACUUAGAGAGAGGAAAACAAGCAUUUCCCUCCAAGCAGAGCCAUCAUGUUUUCAGCCACCAUCAAGUUUUUCCCGAAAACAAAGGCAAACCAAUCUUCCCUUCUAUAAGC